Molecule: long non-coding RNA, 1177 nt
Filed under: Nicotiana tabacum (common tobacco)
Lineage: Eukaryota; Viridiplantae; Streptophyta; Magnoliopsida; Solanales; Solanaceae
Description: long non-coding RNA (NTAB_LNC009227)
Source: RNAcentral
CAGCCAGCAUUACGGUUUUAAACCCUAAACUAAGCUUUCCAUUCAAUCAGCAUUAGGGUUUUAAACCCUAAACUGAACAUUUUCCAUUCAGCCAGCAUUAGGGUUUUAAACCCUAAACAGAGCUUUUCCAUGCAAUCAGCAUUAGGGUUUUAAACCCUAAACUGAACUUUUUUCCAUUCAGCCAGCAUUAGGGUUUUAAACCCUAAACUGAACUUUUCCAUGCAAUUAGCAUUAGGGUUUUAAACCCUAAACUGAACUUUUCCUUUAGUCAGCAUUAGGGUUUUAAACCCUAAACUGAACCUUUUCCUUUAAUCAGCAUUAGGGUUUUAAACCCUAAACUGAACUUUUUUCCAUUUAGCCAGCAUUAGGGUUUUAAACCCCAAACUGAGCUUUUCCAUGCAAUCAGCAUUAGGGUUUUAAACCCUAAACUGAACUUUUUUCCAUUUAGCCAGCAUUAGGGUUUUAAACCCUAAACUGAGCUUUUCCAUGCGAUCAGCGUUAGGGUUUUAAACCCUAAACUGAACUUCUUCCUUUAGUCAGCAUUAGGGUUUUAAACCCUAAACUGAACUUUUUUCCAUUUAGCCAUCAUUAGGGUUUUAAACCCUAAACUGAGCUUUUUCAUGCAAUCAGCGUUAGGGUUUUAAACCCUAAACUGAACUUCUUCCUUUAGUCAGCAUUAGGGUUUUAAACCCUAAACUAAACUUUUUUCCAUUCAGCCAGCAUUAGGGUUUUAAACCCUAAAUUGAGCUUUUCCAUGCAAUCAGCAUUAGGGUUUUAAACCCUAAACUGAACUCUUUCCUUUCAGUUAGCAUUAGGGUUUUAAACCCUAAACUGAACUUUUCCUUUAGUCAGCAUUAGGGUUUUAAACCCUAAACUGAACUUUUUCCUGCAAUCAGCAUUAGGGUUUUAAACCCUAAACUGAACUUUUUUCCAUUCAGCCAGCAUUAGGGUUUUAAACCCUAAACUGAGCUUUUCCAUGCAAUCAGCAUUAGGGUUUUAAACCCUAAACUGAACUUUUUCCAUUCAGCCAGCAUUAGGGUUUUAAACCCUAAACUUUGCUUUUCCAUGCAAUCAGCAUUAGGGUUUUAAACCCUAAACUGAACCUUUUUCCAUUCAGCCAGCAUUAGGGUUUUAAAUCCUAAUCUGAGCUUUUCCAUGCAAUCAGCAUUAGGGUUUU